Molecule: ribosomal RNA, 537 nt
Filed under: Alteromonas sp.
Lineage: Bacteria; Pseudomonadati; Pseudomonadota; Gammaproteobacteria; Alteromonadales; Alteromonadaceae
Description: bacterial SSU rRNA
Rfam family: Bacterial small subunit ribosomal RNA
Source: RNAcentral
GGGACCUGAUGCAGCCAUGCCGCGUGUGUGAAGAAGGCCUUCGGGUUGUAAAGCACUUUCAGUUGUGAGGAAAAGUUAGUAGUUAAUACCUGCUAGCCGUGACGUUAACAACAGAAGAAGCACCGGCUAACUCCGUGCCAGCAGCCGCGGUAAUACGGAGGGUGCGAGCGUUAAUCGGAAUUACUGGGCGUAAAGCGCACGCAGGCGGUUUGUUAAGCUAGAUGUGAAAGCCCCGGGCUCAACCUGGGAUGGUCAUUUAGAACUGGCAGACUAGAGUCUUGGAGAGGGGAGUGGAAUUCCAGGUGUAGCGGUGAAAUGCGUAGAUAUCUGGAGGAACAUCAGUGGCGAAGGCGACUCCCUGGCCAAAGACUGACGCUCAUGUGCGAAAGUGUGGGUAGCGAACAGGAUUAGAUACCCUGGUAGUCCACACCGUAAACGCUGUCUACUAGCUGUUUGUGACUUUAAGYCGUGAGUAGCGAAGCUAACGCGAUAAGUAGACCGCCUGGGGAGUACGGCCGCAAGGUUAAAACUCAAAUG